This 498-nucleotide ribosomal RNA is filed under the name uncultured bacterium. RNAcentral's name for it is "partial 16S ribosomal RNA". It matches the Rfam family "Bacterial small subunit ribosomal RNA", at positions 30 to 523 of the family's 1533-position model. The record is from RNAcentral.
AUUGAACGCUGGCGGCAUGCUUUACACAUGCAAGUCGAACGGUAACAGGCCGCAAGGUGCUGACGAGUGGCGAACGGGUGAGUAAUGCAUCGGAACGUGCCCAGUCGUGGGGGAUAACGCAGCGAAAGCUGUGCUAAUACCGCAUACGAUCUAUGGAUGAAAGCGGGGGACCGUAAGGCCUCGCGCGAUUGGAGCGGCCGAUGUCAGAUUAGCUAGUUGGUGGGGUAAAGGCCCACCAAGGCGACGAUCUGUAGCUGGUCUGAGAGGACGACCAGCCACACUGGGACUGAGACACGGCCCAGACUCCUACGGGAGGCAGCAGUGGGGAAUUUUGGACAAUGGGCGCAAGCCUGAUCCAGCAAUGCCGCGUGCAGGAAGAAGGCCUUCGGGUUGUAAACUGCUUUUGUACGGAACGAAACGGUCUGGGUUAAUACCCUGGGCUAAUGACGGUACCGUAAGAAUAAGCACCGGCUAACUACGUGCCAGCCGCCGCUGUAA